This 290-nucleotide ribosomal RNA is filed under the name uncultured bacterium. RNAcentral describes it as "partial 16S ribosomal RNA". It matches the Rfam family "Bacterial small subunit ribosomal RNA", at positions 505 to 796 of the family's 1533-position model. The record is from RNAcentral.
GUGCGCAGCCGCGGUAAUACGGAGGGGGUUAGCGUUGUUCGGAAUUACUGGGCGUAAAGCGCGCGUAGGCGGGCUGGAAAGUUGGGGGUGAAAUCCCGGGGCUCAACCCCGGAACUGCCUUCAAAACUACCAGUCUGGAGUUCGAGAGAGGUGAGUGGAAUUGCGAGUGUAGAGGUGAAAUUCGUAGAUAUUCGCAGGAACACCAGUGGCGAAGGCGGCUCACUGGCUCGAUACUGACGCUGAGGUGCGAAAGUGUGGGAAGCAAACAGGAUUAGAUACCCCAGUAGUCC